AGCAGCCGCGGUAAUUCCAGCUCCAAUAGCGUAUAUUAAAGUUGUUGCAGUUAAAAAGCUCGUAGUUGAAUUUCGGGACCAUCAUGUCGGUCGUGCCUCGGUACGUACUGGCAUUGUUGGUUUCUCCCUUCUGACGAACCAUGAUGUCAUUUAUUUGGUGUUGUGGGAAAUCAGGACUGUUACUUUGAAAAAAUUAGAGUGUUUAAAGCAGGCUCACGCUUGAAUACAUUAGCAUGGAAUAAUGAAAUAGGACGUUUGAUUCUAUUUUGUUGGUUUCUAGGAUCGAUGUAAUGAUUAAUAGGGAUAGUUGGGGGCAUUAGUAUUCAAUUGUCAGAGGUGAAAUUCUUGGAUUUAUUGAAGACUAACUACUGCGAAAGCAUUUGCCAAGGAUGUUUUCAUUAAUCAAGAACGAAAGUUAGGGGAUCGAAGACGAUCAGAUACCGUCGUAGUCUUAACCAUAAACUAUGCCGACUAGGGAUCGGAUGAUGUUAAUUUUUUAAUGACUCA
Molecule: ribosomal RNA, 507 nt
Filed under: uncultured Glomus
Lineage: Eukaryota; Fungi; Glomeromycota; Glomeromycetes; Glomerales; Glomeraceae
Description: SSU rRNA
Rfam family: Eukaryotic small subunit ribosomal RNA
Source: RNAcentral